Molecule: ribosomal RNA, 1238 nt
Filed under: uncultured Acinetobacter sp.
Lineage: Bacteria; Pseudomonadati; Pseudomonadota; Gammaproteobacteria; Moraxellales; Moraxellaceae
Description: bacterial SSU rRNA
Rfam family: Bacterial small subunit ribosomal RNA
Source: RNAcentral
GGCGACGAUCUGUAGCGGGUCUGAGAGGAUGAUCCGCCACACUGGGACUGAGACACGGCCCAGACUCCUACGGGAGGCAGCAGUGGGGAAUAUUGGACAAUGGGCGAAAGCCUGAUCCAGCCAUGCCGCGUGUGUGAAGAAGGCCUUUUGGUUGUAAAGCACUUUAAGCGAGGAGGAGGCUACCGAGAUUAAUACUCUUGGAUAGUGGACGUUACUCGCAGAAUAAGCACCGGCUAACUCUGUGCCAGCAGCCGCGGUAAUACAGAGGGUGCGAGCGUUAAUCGGAUUUACUGGGCGUAAAGCGUGCGUAGGCGGCUUUUUAAGUCGGAUGUGAAAUCCCUGAGCUUAACUUAGGAAUUGCAUUCGAUACUGGGAAGCUAGAGUAUGGGAGAGGAUGGUAGAAUUCCAGGUGUAGCGGUGAAAUGCGUAGAGAUCUGGAGGAAUACCGAUGGCGAAGGCAGCCAUCUGGCCUAAUACUGACGCUGAGGUACGAAAGCAUGGGGAGCAAACAGGAUUAGAUACCCUGGUAGUCCAUGCCGUAAACGAUGUCUACUAGCCGUUGGGGCCUUUGAGGCUUUAGUGGCGCAGCUAACGCGAUAAGUAGACCGCCUGGGGAGUACGGUCGCAAGACUAAAACUCAAAUGAAUUGACGGGGGCCCGCACAAGCGGUGGAGCAUGUGGUUUAAUUCGAUGCAACGCGAAGAACCUUACCUGGUCUUGACAUAGUAAGAACUUUCCAGAGAUGGAUUGGUGCCUUCGGGAACUUACAUACAGGUGCUGCAUGGCUGUCGCCAGCUCGUGUCGUGAGAUGUUGGGUUAAGUCCCGCAACGAGCGCAACCCUUUUCCUUAUUUGCCAGCGGGUUAAGCCGGGAACUUUAAGGAUACUGCCAGUGACAAACUGGAGGAAGGCGGGGACGACGUCAAGUCAUCAUGGCCCCUACGACCAGGGCUACACACGUGCUACAAUGGUCGGUACAAAGGGUUGCUACCUAGCGAUAGGAUGCUAAUCUCAAAAAGCCGAUCGUAGUCCGGAUUGGAGUCUGCAACUCGACUCCAUGAAGUCGGAAUCGCUAGUAAUCGCGGAUCAGAAUGCCGCGGUGAAUACGUUCCCGGGCCUUGUACACACCGCCCGUCACACCAUGGGAAUUUGUUGCACCAGAAGUAGGUAGUCUAACCGCAAGGAGGACGCUUACCACGGUGUGGCCGAUGACUGGGGUGAAGUCGUAACAAGGUAGCC